CCUACGGGUGGCAGCAGUCGAGAAUCAUUCACAAUGGGGGAAACCCUGAUGGUGCGACGCCGCGUGGGGGAAUGAAGGUCUUCGGAUUAUAAACCCCUGUUAUGUGGGAGCAAAUUAAAAAGAUAGUACCACAAGAGGAAGAGACGGCUAACUCUGUGCCAGCAGCCGCGGUAAUACAGAGGUCUCAAGCGGUGUUCGGAAUCACUGGGCGUAAGGGGUUGGGAGGCUGUUUCGUAAGUCGUGGGUGAAAGGGGCGGGCUCAACCCGCGGACUGCACAUGAUACUGCGAGACUAGAGUAAUGGAGGGGGAACCGGAAUGCUCGGUGUAGCAGUGAAAUGCGUAGAUAUCGAGAGGAACACUCGUGGCGAAGGCGGGUUCCUGGACAUUAACUGACGCUGAGGCACGAAGGUCAGGGGAGCGAAAGGGAUUAGAUACCCCAGUAGUC
RNAcentral lists this ribosomal RNA (446 nucleotides) under uncultured bacterium. RNAcentral describes it as "partial 16S ribosomal RNA". It matches the Rfam family "Bacterial small subunit ribosomal RNA", at positions 338 to 795 of the family's 1533-position model. The record is from RNAcentral.